CCCGGGUCUUGUACACACCGCCCGUCACACCAUGGGAGUGGGUUUCACCAGAAGUAGGUAGUCUAACCGCAAGGAGGAGCCGUCGAAGGUGGGAUUGGUGAUUAGGACU
RNAcentral lists this ribosomal RNA (109 nucleotides) under uncultured bacterium. RNAcentral describes it as "partial 16S ribosomal RNA". It matches the Rfam family "Bacterial small subunit ribosomal RNA", at positions 1373 to 1482 of the family's 1533-position model. The record is from RNAcentral.